GCCAAUGAUGAAUUAAUCCGUAUGUACGAGAUACGGUGGAUCCAAGACCUUGUUUUACAAGGAGAACCACUUGGUUGAAGCUGUAUUACACAUGAAAUUUCUGGAUUUAACUGAGGU
This is a non-coding RNA of Helianthus annuus (common sunflower), 117 nucleotides long. The record is from Rfam. Lineage: Eukaryota; Viridiplantae; Streptophyta; Magnoliopsida; Asterales; Asteraceae.